This 253-nucleotide ribosomal RNA is filed under the name uncultured bacterium. RNAcentral describes it as "partial 16S ribosomal RNA". It matches the Rfam family "Bacterial small subunit ribosomal RNA", at positions 524 to 776 of the family's 1533-position model. The record is from RNAcentral.
UACGUAGGGGGCAAGCGUUGUCCGGAUUUAUUGGGCGUAAAGCGCUCGCAGGUGGUUCGAUGCGUCGUGCGUGAAAGCCCCCGGCUCAACUGGGGAGGGUCGUGCGAUACGGUCGAACUGGAGGCCAGUAGGGGGAUGCGGAAUUCCGGGUGUAGUGGUGGAAUGCGUAGAGAUCCGGAGGAACACCAGCGGCGAAGGCGGCAUCCUGGACUGGUCCUGACACUCAUGAGCGAAAGCGUGGGGAGCAAACAGG